ACGUGCACACUGCAUGUGCACACGGGCGUGCGCGCUGUAGCUCGUGCGCUGUAGGAACCCAGGUGCUCCGGGCCCUUCACGCACGCCGCCCCACCCACAACUUCAGAAUUCUCCAGUGCGCAGCUGUGUGUCUUUCUCCGUCCACGAGCAAUUAGCGGAGUGCCGGAAAGCACGGUGGCCUGUGGGAAGGGUGCCUUUUCCAAGAAAGGACCUGCGUCAACAUGGAGACCCAGGACCUAGAAGCCUCGUUCUGCAGUAGACUUCUCCAGACCAUCUCUUAUUGGUCAGGAUGUGGUCUUGACCUUCAAAGCAGGUAGUAAGGACAAUAAAUGUUGAAGUUUCAGUGAUGAUUUGCAUCAGGCACCUUCCAAAUGGGUCUAACUACGCUUGAAAACAGCAAGGAACUUCUGGGGGGAUUUAUCUCCUUGCAAGUGGCUACACAAAAUAUCUAAUUAUAUGAAGUAUUGCCAUACCUGAAUCUCAUUAUUGUCCAGAGGCAUUCCUUCAUCAAUCUAUGCUCAUAUUCUUAACCUUGUGAUACAAAACAUUGCUUCACUCUACUUGAAAAGGGUGGAAGGGCUCCGGUAUAGUCAACGUCCUGCCAGUUGUUGUGACAGGUGCUCAAGGAGUGCAGUUCUGGGAAUCAGCAUUGAUUGCUGUUGCUGGCAAGUUGGACACAUUGUAAUAGCACUUUGGAAGUGUGGUAAGUUGAACAAUGUAUAAUCUCCCAUCCCUGACUUCGUGACUACUUCAUUCAUGUAACUAAUAUAUUAGUAUUGAGAUGGUUGAGAUCAUUUGGUUGAGAAAUUUUGUCUUUCUGGUUGCUUUGUAUCUUUUCUGUGGUUGGUAUAUACCCUGGUGGGUGUUAACAUGCAAUGUGAAGACUCCACACUAUGUUGUACUACUGUAUGCCCAUCACAUACCUCAAUUCCAGCUCUUUUUGCCUUAGAUCUUUCAUUUCUCCUCCUUUAAGGACUUUGCCUAGUUUGCUAUGAAUUCACCAAUGUUCAUAAGUAAAUAUUUAAUGGAAGCCUCAGCCACUCAUUUUAUUCAAAGUAGAUAAUCUGGUACACUGCACAAAUCUCUGCCUACAGGGAAGAUUUUCUGUACCACUGCCUUUAAAGGCCAUUCCUGAAUGGGGCUUUAGUUAGCUUUACUGUGGUGGCUUAUUCAUGAACCAAGUUAGAAUUUGUUUUUCUGUUACCUGGUGGUAGGGGGUGUCCUUAGGGACUGUCACUGCACUGAGGAGGUCCUCUUUUGCAGUAUUCGUGAGUGUCCUAGGUAUCUGGACUGCCUGCUCAUACAGUUUGCUUGUGUUCUUCAAUCCUGUUAAUGUUUGAUUCUACAUUUACAUUCCCAUAUUAUGAUGGAAUAUUGUCAGGCCUGCCCAACUGUAUGACUCAGUGAGUCUGAGGAAAUCCAGUUUACGAUGAAUAGUACUUUCCCUGGUAUCCUUUGUGGUGCAUGUCAAGAGUUCUGUCUCUGCCAGUAUCCAGUAACAUGCCAAGGACAAUUUUUCAAUAAGCGCCUAAUUCGCCAUUGCAGAUGGCAUGGCCUUCUCUAGACAUCCAGUGGUCUGCAUUAUAAUUCCACUUACUAUUUCCCCCAGCCAGCCCAUCCCAUUCCAGGAGUUUAAAAUCCCAGUUUACAUUAAUAAGUGUUUGAAAAACCAUUCCACUGUCUUCUGCCAGAGGCUAUCUGUGGUCCAUAUACCACAGAAAAUGGAAUCAUCAUUGCCAGCUGCAGUGAAGAUGAUUCAAGCACAAAAUCCAAUAUUAUCAUUUUCAUUC
Molecule: long non-coding RNA, 1790 nt
Organism: Acinonyx jubatus (cheetah)
Lineage: Eukaryota; Metazoa; Chordata; Mammalia; Carnivora; Felidae
Exons: 4
Source: RefSeq, a predicted model, not a curated record